Molecule: ribosomal RNA, 438 nt
Filed under: Asterionellopsis glacialis
Lineage: Eukaryota; Bacillariophyta; Plagiogrammaphyceae; Rhaphoneidales; Asterionellopsidaceae
Description: partial Bacterial small subunit ribosomal RNA
Rfam family: Bacterial small subunit ribosomal RNA
Source: RNAcentral
GAGACACGGUCCAGACUCCUACGGGAGGCAGCAGUGAGGAAUUUUCCGCAAUGGGCGAAAGCCUGACGGAGCAAUACCGCGUGAGGGAAGACGGCCUAUGGGUUGUAAACCUCUUUUUUCAGGGAGGAACACAAUGACGUGUACCUGAAGAAUAAGCAUCGGCUAACUUCGUGCCAGCAGCCGCGGUAAGACGGAGGAUGCAAGCGUUAUCCGGAAUCACUGGGCGUAAAGCGUCUGUAGGUGGUUUAAUAAGUCAACUGUUAAAUCUUGAGGCUCAACUUCAAAAUCGCAGUCGAAACUAUUAGACUAGAGUAUAGUAGGGGUAAAGGGAAUUUCCAGUGGAGCGGUGAAAUGCGUAGAUAUUGGAAAGACCACCAAUGGCGAAGGCACUCUACUGGGCCAUUACUGACACUGAGAGACGAAAGCUAGGGGAGCAAA